ACAAGCAACAGGUGUGCAGAGCAGCACAGCACUGCAGACCAGGUAAAGAACAGUGGAUCUGAUAUAUAGUGGAGACCAUCCACCUUUCAAGAGGUUACCCAAUGAUUUCCACAGUUAAUACACCAAAUCUCCCAGUAACUCCAUGAUGUACGAACCCAACCUCCAGGAAACACAUUAGUCUGGAGCCAAAGCUACAGGUGUGUGCUGGUCAGUGGAGGAGUCAUCUGAUCCUCCGAUCUGGAUUAGACUGUGUCGUUCAAUCUGCGUUACUGUAGCUGCUCGAGGUGAUCAGGGGCCUUUAUCCGAACAGCAGAAGGAAUAACCCGGGGAGUGUUGUGUUUCCCUGCUGGAGUUUUCCAGAAGAUGUCACAGAGGAGCUCAUGGUGAUGCUGCUAACCUGACUGACGACUGAUGGGCCGACUGAACAACAGAACUAACAGAUCUGAGCUUCAUCUCAAGACAGAGCAGAGCAGAAAAUAGCAGGUUUAUACAGCGGGAGAAAUGCGAGGCGACGACAGCAGGAUAUACACGUGUACUACGUAACAGAGGUUUCAACCUGAAGGUCGGUAAUGACUCCACCAGGGAGACUUUCCUUGAAAAAUAAGGCAGCAACGGAAGACUUGUUUUAAAUAUUACUCACAUGUCAUGAUUAAAGUGUCUCACUGUGGUUCACAGCA
Long non-coding RNA from Acanthopagrus latus (yellowfin seabream), 677 nucleotides. RefSeq lists it as uncharacterized. NCBI's taxonomy places the organism in Eukaryota, Metazoa, Chordata, Actinopteri, Spariformes, Sparidae. The transcript is spliced from 3 exons. The record is from RefSeq and is a predicted model, not a curated record.